UACAGAGGGUGCAAGCGUUAAUCGGAAUUACUGGGCGUAAAGCGUGCGUAGACGGUUAUGUAAGUCAGGUGUGAAAGCCCAGGGCUCAACCUUGAAAUUGCAUUUGAGACUGAAUAGCUAGGGUGCGGAAGAGGGAAGCGGAAUUUCCGGUGUAGCGGUGAAAUGCGUAGAUAUCGGAAGGAACACCAGUGGCGAAAGCGGCUUCCUGGUCCAGCACCGACGUUCAGGCACGAAAGCGUGGGGAGCAAACAGG
This 253-nucleotide ribosomal RNA is filed under the name uncultured bacterium. RNAcentral's name for it is "partial 16S ribosomal RNA". It matches the Rfam family "Bacterial small subunit ribosomal RNA", at positions 524 to 776 of the family's 1533-position model. The record is from RNAcentral.